RNAcentral lists this ribosomal RNA (410 nucleotides) under Cyclocephala multiplex. RNAcentral's name for it is "partial 12S ribosomal RNA". The record is from RNAcentral. Lineage: Eukaryota; Metazoa; Arthropoda; Insecta; Coleoptera; Scarabaeidae.
UUAGAUACCCUAUUAUUGAAAAUGCAAAUUAUUAUGCCUGAGUAGUAGUAGUUAUGUUCUUGAAAUUCAAAAAAUCUGGCGGUAUUUUAGUCUAUUCAGAGGAACCUGUCCUGUAAUUGAUGAUCCACGAUUAAUUUUACUUAUUUUUAGUUUGUAUAUCGUCGUAGUUUGAAUGUUUUUAAAGAAAUUGUAAUAUUCAAGAUUUAUUUUAAAUUUAAAGGAAAUCAGAUCAAGAUACAGCGUAUAAAUAAGAAGAGAUGGGUUACAAUAAAUUUAUUUAAAUGGUUAAAAUAUUUAAAAUUAUUUUAUAAAGUGGAUUUGAUAGUAAUAUAGUUUAUUUAAAUUAUAUGAUUUUAGCUCUAAAAUAUGUACAUAUCGCCCGUCGCUCCUUCUCUAAAGAUGGAUAAGUC